This 466-nucleotide ribosomal RNA is filed under the name uncultured bacterium. RNAcentral describes it as "bacterial SSU rRNA". It matches the Rfam family "Bacterial small subunit ribosomal RNA", at positions 329 to 793 of the family's 1533-position model. The record is from RNAcentral.
GGCCAGACUCCUACGGGAGGCAGCAGUGAGGAAUAUUGGUCAAUGGUCGGGAGACUGAACCAGCCAAGCCGCGUGAGGGAUGAAGGUACAGAGUAUCGUAAACCUCUUUUGUCAGGGAACAAAGGCGGGGACGUGUCCCCGGAUGAGUGUACCUGAAGAAAAAGCAUCGGCUAACUCCGUGCCAGCAGCCGCGGUAAUACGGAGGAUGCGAGCGUUAUCCGGAUUUAUUGGGUUUAAAGGGUGCGUAGGCGGGCUUUUAAGUCAGCGGUAAAAAUUCGGGGCUCAACCCCGUCCGGCCGUUGAAACUGAUGAUCUUGAGUGGGCGAGAAGUAUGCGGAAUGCGUGGUGUAGCGGUGAAAUGCAUAGAUAUCACGCAGAACCCCGAUUGCGAAGGCAGCAUGCCGGCUCCACACUGACGCUGAGGCACGAAAGCGUGGGUAUCGAACAGGAUUAGAUACCCUCGUAU